This 439-nucleotide ribosomal RNA is filed under the name uncultured bacterium. Its description in RNAcentral is "partial 16S ribosomal RNA". It matches the Rfam family "Bacterial small subunit ribosomal RNA", at positions 339 to 795 of the family's 1533-position model. The record is from RNAcentral.
CUACGGGAGGCAGCAGUGGGGAAUAUUGCACAAUGGGGGAAACCCUGAUGCAGCGACGCCGCGUGAGUGAAGAAGUAUUUCGGUACGUAAAGCUCUAUCAGCAGGGAAGAAAAUGACGGUACCUGACUAAGAAGCCCCGGCUAACUACGUGCCAGCAGCCGCGGUAAUACGUAGGGGGCAAGCGUUAUCCGGAUUUACUGGGUGUAAAGGGAGCGUAGACGGCAGCGCAAGUCUGGAGUGAAAGGCCGGGGCCCAACCCCGGGACUGCUCUGGAAACUAUUGAACUUGAGUGCAGGAGAGGUAAGCGGAAUUCCUAGUGUAGCGGUGAAAUGCGUAGAUAUUAGGAGGAACACCAGUGGCGAAGGCGGCUUACUGGACUGUAACUGACGUUGAGGCUCGAAAGCGUGGGGAGCAAACAGGAUUAGAUACCCUUGUAGUC